UACAGAGGGUGCAAGCGUUGUUCGGAAUUAUUGGGCGUAAAGCGCGUGUAGGCGGCUUUGCAAGUCGGGUGUGAAAGCCCUCAGCUCAACUGAGGAAGUGCGCCCGAAACUGCAGAGCUUGAGUGCCGGAGAGGGUAGCGGAAUUCCCCAAGUAGAGGUGAAAAUUCGUAGAUAUGGGGAGGAACACCGGUGGCGAAGGCGGCUACCUGGACGGUGACUGACGCUGAGACGCGAAAGCGUGGGUAGCAAACAGG
Molecule: ribosomal RNA, 254 nt
Filed under: uncultured bacterium
Lineage: Bacteria
Description: partial 16S ribosomal RNA
Rfam family: Bacterial small subunit ribosomal RNA
Source: RNAcentral